RNAcentral lists this unclassified non-coding RNA (304 nucleotides) under plant metagenome. Its description in RNAcentral is "partial contains 5.8S ribosomal RNA, internal transcribed spacer 2, and large subunit ribosomal RNA". The stretch from base 1 to 105 matches the Rfam family "5.8S ribosomal RNA", at positions 50 to 154 of the family's 154-position model. The record is from RNAcentral.
GAAAUGCGAUAAGUAGUGUGAAUUGCAGAAUUCAGUGAAUCAUCGAAUCUUUGAACGCACAUUGCGCCCUUUGGUAUUCCUUAGGGCAUGCCUGUUCGAGCGUCAUCUAAACCUUCAAGCCCUGCUUGGUGUUGGGUGCCUGUCCGCCUCCGCGCGCGGACUCACCUCAAAUCCAUUGGCGGCCCCCGCGUCGGCCACGAGCGCAGCAGAAACGCGAACUCGUGAGCCCGUCCGGGCGGCUCCCAGAAGCUACACCCACCCAGUUUGACCUCGGAUCAGGUAGGGAUACCCGCUGAACUUAAGC